Long non-coding RNA from Suricata suricatta (meerkat), 1078 nucleotides. RefSeq lists it as uncharacterized. Lineage: Eukaryota; Metazoa; Chordata; Mammalia; Carnivora; Herpestidae. The transcript has 2 exons. The record is from RefSeq and is a predicted model, not a curated record.
UGGAUGCACUCCAUCCCUAUAUUAGGGUAGAGGCAGUGAAGAAUCAAAUGUGAAAACGCUUUGAAGAAUACUAUAAAGUUCAUUUCAGGUUAUAACUAUUACUGUCAUUACUGACAUUAUUAUCUAUCAAUCCUCUAGGCUUUUUAACAAAUGAAGCGAACAAUGAAAAGGCACAUGUGAGCUGAAGAAAAAGCAGAUAAAACGGGAGAAGGCAUCCUCCCACAGAUGCGUGGGACUUACGUCCUGCAGCUGGGCGCUGGAGACCGCGCAAGAGGACAACUGAAAAGACUGGAUCAUGGCCUGAGCAACACCCUGCGGGUCAGAGUACAGUGCACCUCCCAGGACAUCAUUCUCUGGCUGUUACAAGCUUUGGUGAUGCAGCAUUUCUUAAGAGUGUUUCUCUACUACUGUCACCAAAAUUUUCUUUGAAACCACAGACUCCCAUUUUGCAAUUACAAUACUGAUAACUUUCUUGAUCUUAACACAGGUGCCAAAAGAUUUUUAGAUAACAACCAGUACUCACAUUCUUUCUUUGAAAGGUACUUUAAUAGCUGACUGAUUGAAACAUCAAGGGCUACAACUACAUGACAACUAAGUUCACAACGCACAGGCAACAACAGAUCACAACUGCCACUUGACCAACAAAAGUAUGAAGGCAUCUAUGGAUAGAAGACACAUCCCUUUCAGAGAUGUCAAAAAGUAAAAAGUCUGUCAUAACUAGUGAAAUCAAGUUUGUCUCUCACAGAAAAGCCUACAGUUGAGCCAAAAAUAAUUAGAACUCAUCCUCUUCUGAGUCAGAGGAAACAAGCCAGUAAGAGAUAAGCCAUUCUCUCACCAUUUUAAUGUAACACUUUUGGAGGAAAAGGCCAGAGGAGCUGUCCUUGAACAGAAACACUAUAAAAUAUGAGCCCUGGUAGGAGACCAUGUGGGGUUAAAAGUCAUCCUGCUUUUGCAUGCUUCUACUGAUGUCCUUCAAGAUUUUAAACAUGUGUCUUAUAAAUGGAAUGGAAAAAAUAAUUAACACUAGAUAAUCUUUGAAGUUCUUUGUAAGAAAUAAAUUUUUUUAAGUUUUAAGUAA